GGGCGGCUAGUUCAGUGGACGGAACGCUUGGUUCCGGACCAAGAGGUCGGGGGUUCGAAUCCCUCGUCGCCCG
Molecule: transfer RNA, 73 nt
Filed under: Halobacteriales archaeon QS_6_71_20
Lineage: Archaea; Methanobacteriati; Methanobacteriota; Halobacteria; Halobacteriales
Description: tRNA-Arg
Rfam family: tRNA
About the family: Transfer RNA (tRNA) molecules are approximately 80 nucleotides in length. Their secondary structure includes four short double-helical elements and three loops (D, anti-codon, and T loops).
Source: RNAcentral